GUGCCAGCAGCCGCGGUAAUACAGAGACUGCAAGCGUUAUUCGGAUUCACUGGGCGUAAAGGGUGCGCAGGCGGCCAAGUGUGUCAGGUGUGAAAUCCCGAGGCUUAACCUCGGAACUGCGCCUGAAACUACUUGGCUAGAGUACUGGAGAGGGUAACGGAAUUCACGGUGUAGCAGUGAAAUGCGUAGAUAUCGUGAGGAACACCAGAGGCGAAGGCGGUUACCUGGACAGUUACUGACGCUCAGGCACGAAAGCGUGGGGAGCAAAAGGGAUUAGAUACCCCGGUAGUCC
RNAcentral lists this ribosomal RNA (292 nucleotides) under uncultured bacterium. RNAcentral's name for it is "partial 16S ribosomal RNA". It matches the Rfam family "Bacterial small subunit ribosomal RNA", at positions 505 to 796 of the family's 1533-position model. The record is from RNAcentral.